Molecule: long non-coding RNA, 403 nt
Organism: Cydia strobilella
Lineage: Eukaryota; Metazoa; Arthropoda; Insecta; Lepidoptera; Tortricidae
Exons: 2
Source: RefSeq, a predicted model, not a curated record
AUCUAUUCAGUUUUGAAAUCCAAGAAGUGCGUAAGAAAAUUUCAUCACAAGACCAAUUAUAGAAUAUCUAAUUGCAGCACGCUAAGCAUAAUCAAUUUGUGUGCAUCCAAUCAAUUAAUUUCCUUGAAUAGUAGGUGCCAGGUGCCGAUGCUGGCUUACCGUCGCCAUGAGAACUGCCCUCCUGCUCUAUGUUUUGGCCCUCGGGCAAGGGUGGGUCAAAUGCAACCUCUUCUACCCUGAGAACGGCAUGGACAAACACGACAAUGUUGUAAAAAGACACAGCAAAUUAUUAUUUGUCAAAAAUACAAAAAGCAGCCGUAAAAGGGAAUUACAAAAUAAAGAAAAGCAGCUUAUUGGCUUAUUUAAACAUGCCUUUCAUCAAGAACAUAUAAAGUCAGCAUCA